CGGCCCGUAGCUCAAUGGUAGAGCGCCGCCCUUAUAAGACGGUGGUCGAUGGUUCGAUCCCAUCCGGGCCGACCA
This 75-nucleotide transfer RNA is filed under the name Patescibacteria group bacterium. RNAcentral describes it as "tRNA-Ile". It matches the Rfam family "tRNA". Rfam says of the family: Transfer RNA (tRNA) molecules are approximately 80 nucleotides in length. Their secondary structure includes four short double-helical elements and three loops (D, anti-codon, and T loops). RNAcentral also lists the same sequence under 1 other name. The record is from RNAcentral.